Molecule: long non-coding RNA, 519 nt
Filed under: Sinocyclocheilus grahami
Lineage: Eukaryota; Metazoa; Chordata; Actinopteri; Cypriniformes; Cyprinidae
Description: lncRNA (ENSSGRG00000040546.1)
Source: RNAcentral
ACCCUACGUAGACUUUUACCACAAAAUCACCCAGGAAACCUCCAUGUAUUGAUGUGCCCCACACCUGAGACAGCUUUCAGACAGACCUGCCUCUUCUUCUCUGAGGCAGGAUUGGUCCCUGAUCCAAGCCUAAGUAUACCCCCAACCCACCCCCAGGCGCUCUGGGAACUGACUGUCAAUCUCUGACAACCCUCAGGUCUCAGAAGUCAGUCGCUUUACAGUUACAUGACAGUGGGCCCAGGGCCACUUUUGACUCUAGCUCUGUUCAAGCCUGGAGCCUGCAGACACCACUUUGGUAAAAUUCACACCGCAAUCAAACAGAACGGAUAUACUCUAGUGGGCUUACGUGUGCUUCUGCUGGACUCGAGCGUGGCAAAUGCACUGAUUCAUCCACCAGAGCAACAGAUACCCUGCUUGCAUUCCGAUCCUAAAGUUAGUUUGGACCGUGAACAGCUGCACACCCUUAGAACCGCUGACAAAGACGAGUUUUCUUCAGGAUUCGGUCAAGGCAAGGCAUGA